GGCCUGUUGCGGGGUGAUGUAGUGGAUGUGGGAGUCCACGCCGCCGGCGGUGAGGAUUCGGUGCUCCCCCGCGAUGACCUCGGUGCCGGGACCGAUGACCAGUUCAGGGUCCACCCCGUCCUGGGUGUUCGGGUUUCCGGCCUUGCCGAUCCCGACGAUCCGGCCGUCCCUGAUGCCGACGUCACCUUUGACGACCCCUGCCACGGCGUCGAGGACGAUGACGCCGGUGAUGACGGUGUCGAGGGCACGGUUGCCGGCACCACCGGUGGAGGUGGCCGUGGGGUCCUGGGCCAUCCCGUCGCG
RNAcentral lists this small RNA (303 nucleotides) under Corynebacterium provencense. Its description in RNAcentral is "5' ureB small RNA". The stretch from base 4 to 203 matches the Rfam family "5' ureB small RNA". Lineage: Bacteria; Bacillati; Actinomycetota; Actinomycetes; Mycobacteriales; Corynebacteriaceae. The record is from RNAcentral.